Molecule: microRNA, 24 nt
Filed under: Ananas comosus (pineapple)
Lineage: Eukaryota; Viridiplantae; Streptophyta; Magnoliopsida; Poales; Bromeliaceae
Description: microRNA s0955_c123a
Source: RNAcentral
GUCAACACAUUAAUAAUAUAUAAG